AAUGCCUUAAUUUGUGGCAAAAUUGCUUACAUCCAAAAUCUUCAGGAAAAGUUGAGAUAGGCUUCAGAAAAUGACAUUUGUAGUCAGAAAUCAUUCAACAGCAAAGUUUGUGCACUUUGAUGGGGAAAAGAUUUUAUACCUGCCUAAGUUCUUUCCCCUCAUCUGACUGUGCAGGCUACCAUGAGGUUUUUGCUACAGAUCAACCAGUCUGGUAACCUGAGAGAACGUAUGGCUUGUCCCACCAUUCCAGCCUUGCCUGUGCAUGGCCAUAGCUCAGUAUGGAGGGAAAACCUAGAGAACCCCUUGUCAGAAUAUUCUUGGAAUGGUAUUUCAUGUUCUACAUUUCCUUUCUCUGGCUGGCUGAUCUUUGUAGGGGUAAGUUUUCCCCUUCAUUUUCUUUUAACAGCCUGUGUAUAUUAAUAUAGUUUUUAAAAAGGUGACUGAUGAUAUUCUAUUAAAAAUAAUCAUGGAAAGUCUUA
Molecule: long non-coding RNA, 479 nt
Organism: Oxyura jamaicensis (ruddy duck)
Lineage: Eukaryota; Metazoa; Chordata; Aves; Anseriformes; Anatidae
Exons: 2
Source: RefSeq, a predicted model, not a curated record